AUAUCUUUCUCGGACUCCCGGCUAAGAUCAAGUGUAGUAUUUGUUCUUAUUAGUUUAAUAUAUGAUAUGUGGACCAUAGGCUCACUUUUUAUUCAAUAAAUAAAUUAUUUUUUGAGGGGGAGGGCCCACUACAGUAGCAAGCUACUAGAGUCUCUCAUGCAUUUCUUUGGUGUUGCACUAUUGCCAAGUUCAAAGGUUUUUGCU
This is a small nuclear RNA of Rhododendron vialii, 204 nucleotides long. RefSeq annotates it as U2 spliceosomal RNA. The transcript has a single exon. The record is from RefSeq and is a predicted model, not a curated record. Lineage: Eukaryota; Viridiplantae; Streptophyta; Magnoliopsida; Ericales; Ericaceae.